UUGAUGCAGAUGAAUUUCAGGAAGAACUGGGAGAGUAGAAACAAAAUUGUCAGCACUUCUCCAUGGAAACCCCAUGGAGGUUUCAGGGCUGAGGACAGCGCUGGGGAAGUCCUGGGGCCCCCAGAAGCCAGAGGUGGGGUAACAAGAGGAUGGGUGGAUGACUUACGCAGGGAGCAGCCCUCUGAAACCGCCGGAAUCGAGGCCUCCUUUGCACCUUGAUUCCACCCAGAGUCUGCGCCUACGCUUUGGGCAGGGGAGGCAGAACCCACGUUGGUCUAAGAGCAGGGAGAAGUGGGCAUGAUCCUACCAUGCUGCAGGGCCUCGGGAUGGGGAUGGGAUUUGCUGCUCUUUGUGCCCAAUUAAUGAGCGAGACGAACAAGCACACUGAGUAGCUUCCUGCCAGCCGUCCCCUUUGGCAGCAAACUCAUCCCCACCUCUGGGCCUUGGCUCGAGUUGUUAGCCAACUCAACCUUGAAGCCGUCCCUUCCUAUCAGCCCAUGCAAAUUCUGCCAUCAGCCAAGGACCGCCUCUUCCUCUUCCGGGAAGCUGACUUCAAGCCAUGCCCUUCCCUUUUGCAAGCUCCCGUGGCUCGCGACCCGCAGCCCACCCCUGCACCAGUGGACACUGCGGGAUGGCCUGGCCUCGGCUCUGCAUUUUCACUUCUCUUAGCUCUCAUCUCCUCCACCACAGAGACAGCUCUGUCUGAGUAUCUUUCUGAUACUGUUCUUUAUCCCCCAGGACUGGCCCAGCCCAGGGCGGAAGAACUUAUUAGUUUGAAUUACAAACAACAGAAGUAGAAAACUCCACAAGGAAAAAUCUCAGCUGGUGAAGAAGCUCAGGAGCUCACAGAAGGUGAGCACUUGGGGGUAAGUGGGCUGGGCACCUCAGGAGUUUUGUGAUGUCCAAAAGGAGAUGUGGGUGACGUAGGGUUUAAAACCCGCACCUGUAGGACCAGUCAAAUGGAGACAGAGUUGGCUUCCCAGAGCUACCGCAAGGGCACGAGGUAGGAGGACCAAGCUACCAGUUACUGAAUGGGCACUGAGCAGCUAUAAUGUGUGCACUAAGCUUGUCCUGUCUUAAUCCCAAAACAGUGUGAUGAAGUAAUCAAACCAUCGCCAUCGGCUAAGGAAACCGAGGGGUGCAGAGCUGAUGUCGCUUGGCCCGCAAGCCACGGAGAGUGGGAGCAAGAGGAGGUUUGGUCAGGCUGCCUCUGCCCCUGUCUUUCUCGGCCCACAGGCUCCAAGCAGGCAGGACCAGACCGCAGCUUCCAGGUGCUGGGAUCCGGGGACCACACCUUCACCUGCUGCUCUCUUGAAGGAAAAACAAAUAUCUGCCUCUGGCAGGUAAAAAAAAAAUAAAAGGAGUGCGUCUCA
Molecule: long non-coding RNA, 1373 nt
Filed under: Homo sapiens (human)
Lineage: Eukaryota; Metazoa; Chordata; Mammalia; Primates; Hominidae
Description: HSALNT0290080
Source: RNAcentral